Molecule: transfer RNA, 73 nt
Filed under: Monomastix sp. OKE-1
Lineage: Eukaryota; Viridiplantae; Chlorophyta; Mamiellophyceae; Monomastigales; Monomastigaceae
Description: tRNA-Asn
Rfam family: tRNA
About the family: Transfer RNA (tRNA) molecules are approximately 80 nucleotides in length. Their secondary structure includes four short double-helical elements and three loops (D, anti-codon, and T loops).
Source: RNAcentral
UCUUCAAUAGCUCAGCGGUUAGAGCGGAUGGCUGUUAACCAUCAGGUCGUUGGUUCGAAUCCAUCUUGGGGAG